UUCGCCCCGCCGUCCGCGCUCUGCCCCGCAUCCAUCCCCUUGCGCUCAGGCCUCCCCCGUGCGUCUCUCGCCCCUGUUCUGUCUCGUCCAGCCACCGUGUGGCCUCACCGGACCGCCUCUUGCUUUCCCGACCCCUUGCCGCCCCCAACCCUCUCUCUUUCUUGUUGUUUUGCAGCCGAACCAGCAGACCCACGGAGUGGGUAUCCAGCUGUUCGUGGGCCGUUUUGGGCUGUUUCCCGGCCCCGAACCCGAGCCGUGCUUUGGGAACAAUCGUUCCUCACGUCGCCGCCGUCGGAUUGAUCCGAUUUGCGCGCGAUUUGGUGAGUAAUCUCACUAAUCUUGGAUUAGUUGGCUAAUUAUGCUUAAGGUUGGUUUAGAUUUAAUUAAUUAUGUUUAGGUUGUUAGAUUAGAAUAAAUUAGCAAUUAUUAGUCAAUUGUGAUGUGAUUUAGAUAAAUUGAUUGUGCAAUUAGCAAGUAGACGUGGUCUACUAAUUAUUGGAAGUGCUUCGGGAAUUUUCCUGACCCUCAGUGGGCUCCAAUUAGGCUUUUCGUGCCUAAGUGGAUUUUUUUGUAUUUAAAUAUUAAUUUUCGGAAUUAAAUUAAAUAAUUAUUUAUUUUCCGAAAAUUCAACUGAGAUGGCUCGGGACCGGAAUAUUGUGCUGAUGACCGUGGUGAAGUCCGUUUAGUUAAUCGCGCUUUAUUUUGAGCUAAAUUGAAUUUUUAAUAUUAAUUAUUUAAUUUUCGAAAUUAAUAAAUAAAUUAAUUAUUUUUCGGAAAUUAAGAUUUUGAUGGCCGAUGACCGAAAUCUCGUGCCGAUCGUCGUGGCGCAGUCCGUUUAUUUAUUUGAGCUCUACGUUGUAUGGAAUUGAAUAAAUUGUGAUAUUUUAGGGAUUUACCCUAAAUUGAUUUGGAGUCGAUUGAGAUUGAAUUAUCGAUUGGUGAAUGGCCAAGUAUGUUUAUUCAGCAUUUAUAAUGCUUUGUUGAGUUAAUUUAAUUAUUUGAUUGAGUAUUGAUUGGUGAAUGGCCAAGUAUGUUUAUUCAGCAUUUAUAAUGCUUUGUUGACUUGAUUUAAUUAUUUGAUUGAGAAAUCGUUGGGCAUUGGUUGUCGAUAUUGAAAGUAAAUUGGUAACCACUGCAAAGAGGACACGUGGGCUUGGUGAAUUGGAAUGUUACCUGGAAAAUGCACGUGAGUUCAGUGGUUGAAUAUGUCACAUUGGCGAAAAGGUCGCCUGAGAGAAUGCACGUGGCUCGGAGACUCGGUAUGUCGUCCUGGAGAAUGCACGUGGCUUGGUGACAGGAUUUGGCAUCUAAAAGGACACGUGGCUCGGUGAUCUGAUGCGUCACUUUAGUAAGCGAGUACCUUAGAGAAUGCACGUGGGUCCAGCAUUCCGGAAUGGCAUCUAAAAGGGCACGUGGCUCGGUGAAUUGAUGCAUCACCUUGGUGAGAUAGCACCUUAGAGAAUGCACGUGGGCCCAGGCAUCGUAAAAAGGACACGUGGCUCGGUGGCUUGAUGUACCACCUUGGCAAAGAGGUCGCCUUAGAGAAUGCACGUGGGCCCAGGCAUCCUAAAAAGGACACGUGGCUCGGUGGCUUGAUGUAACGUGGACUCGGAGACUUGGAAGGUCAUCCUGGAGAAUGCACGUGGCCUAGCUUUUAAAUAUCCCACAGUGGGAAUUGAUUUGUUUGGCAUGUAAUCGACUAGGUCGAUGCUUUGAUUUGAUGUUGUGAAUUGAUUGACUGAAUGGAAAUGACCGUGAGUGGUCUUGUUGGAAUAUAAUCGACUAGGUCGAUUUGAUCGAUGCUUCGAUCGGUGAUAUGACUGCUUGGGUGCCUAUUGUGAAUUGUACUGACUUGCAGGUGGGAUCAGAGGCCAAGGUAAGUCCUCUGCCCUGUGCGUGUUUAGGCAGCCUUUAGUAUAAUAGUUUACUAAUUGGGCUUAGUGGGGUAGAACUCGCUGAGACGUAGUCUCAUCCCAGUUUGGGGAAAAACCAUUUCAGGACCCCGACGAGAAGCUGAGGAGGAAUCUAAGAGAACUCGGAGGUGAAACUUAAAGAGAAAGAUUUUUGGAAGAAGA
RNAcentral lists this long non-coding RNA (2075 nucleotides) under Eucalyptus grandis. RNAcentral's name for it is "long non-coding RNA (EGRA_LNC002850)". The record is from RNAcentral. Lineage: Eukaryota; Viridiplantae; Streptophyta; Magnoliopsida; Myrtales; Myrtaceae.